CCUACGGGUGGCUGCAGUGAGGAAUAUUGGUCAAUGGACGCAAGUCUGAACCAGCCAUGCCGCGUGCAGGAAGACGGCUCGAUGAGUUGUAAAAUGCUUUUGUACGAGGGUAAACGCAGAUACGCGUAUCUGUCUGAAAGUAACGUACGAAUAAGGAUCGGCUAACUCCGUGCCAUCAGCCGCGGUAAUACGGAGGAUUCAAGCGUUAUCCGGAUUUAUUGGGUUUAAAGGGUGCGUAGGCGGUCGGAUAAGUUAGAGGUGAAAUUGAGGGGCUCAACCCCUUCCCGCCAUUGAAACUGGCGCUCUUGAGUGGAAGAGAAGUAUGCGGAAUGCGUGGUGUAGCGGUGAAAUGCAUAGAUAUCACGCAGAACCCCGAUUGCGAAGGCAGCAUGCCGGCUUCCUACUGACGCUGAAGCACGAAAGCGUGGGGAUCGAACAGGAUUAGAUACCCUUGUAGUC
RNAcentral lists this ribosomal RNA (459 nucleotides) under uncultured bacterium. RNAcentral describes it as "partial 16S ribosomal RNA". It matches the Rfam family "Bacterial small subunit ribosomal RNA", at positions 338 to 795 of the family's 1533-position model. The record is from RNAcentral.